Molecule: ribosomal RNA, 429 nt
Filed under: Acidobacteriota bacterium
Lineage: Bacteria; Pseudomonadati; Acidobacteriota
Description: Acidobacteria bacterium partial 16S ribosomal RNA
Rfam family: Bacterial small subunit ribosomal RNA
Source: RNAcentral
UGGGGAAUUUUGGACAAUGGGGGAAACCCUGAUCCAGCCAUCCCGCGUGUGCGAUGAAGGCCUUCGGGUUGUAAAGCACUUUUGGCAGGAAAGAAACGUCAUGGGUUAAUACCCCGUGAAACUGACGGUACCUGCAGAAUAAGCACCGGCUAACUACGUGCCAGCAGCCGCGGUAAUACGUAGGGUGCAAGCGUUAAUCGGAAUUACUGGGCGUAAAGCGUGCGCAGGCGGUUCGGAAAGAAAGAUGUGAAAUCCCAGAGCUCAACUUUGGAACUGCAUUUUUAACUACCGGGCUAGAGUGUGUCAGAGGGAGGUGGAAUUCCGCGUGUAGCAGUGAAAUGCGUAGAUAUGCGGAGGAACACCGAUGGCGAAGGCAGCCUCUUGGGAUAACACUGACGCUCAUGCACGAAAGCGUGGGGAGCAAACAGG